UAAAAGCAGUUAUUAAGUUUUUUUCUUUAAAGCUUUUGAACUUAAUAACACUUUAAGUUAACCUUGUAAACAUCAUUAAGUUUACCUUUAAAAGAUCAAAGAACAAUUAUUAAAACCUUUUUGAUCAGAUAACUAAUAUACUAACUAACUAAAUCAUCGAUGCAUAAUUAACUGCAUCAAUGAUUUUUUUUCAUUAUUUUUACCGCAAAAAAUGCAGAUUUAUCUGUUAAACUAAUGAUUUAAAAAGGCUUUUUUUUAUUAUCAAUCAUUGGUUAUUUUUUACUUGUGAUUUUAGCUUUAAUGCUUAUAAAAAAAUCCAAUGAUAAAAGUUUUUUAGAAAAGUGUUGUACAAACUGAUUUGUUGUGCUAUAAUCUAUAAGGCUUAUAUAG
Molecule: unclassified non-coding RNA, 390 nt
Filed under: Mycoplasmoides gallisepticum
Lineage: Bacteria; Bacillati; Mycoplasmatota; Mycoplasmoidales; Mycoplasmoidaceae
Description: Mycoplasma gallisepticum 16S-23S ribosomal RNA intergenic spacer
Source: RNAcentral